This 253-nucleotide long non-coding RNA is filed under the name Lathyrus oleraceus (garden pea). RNAcentral's name for it is "Pisum sativum (pea) long non-coding RNA (PSAT_LNC037051)". Lineage: Eukaryota; Viridiplantae; Streptophyta; Magnoliopsida; Fabales; Fabaceae. The record is from RNAcentral.
AAUGAUCACAAAAAUUCCUGCUUUGUUCUCAAAUCGCAUGAAAAUUCGGGCUAGGUGACUCUCACACGGUCAUUUAACCCAGUAAAAUAAAAACAUAUGCGGAACAUGCAGAAGAAAAAUAAAAAAAUAAUAAGCCUAUUUGUUUGUUGGUUCAGAGGUAUCCAGUGUUGAACUUGGUAGGGUGGAUUACAACCCAAUCCCCCACAACUACAAAUUGGGUUAAAUAAAGGGUUUACACCAACUUAUGUACCGG